Zalophus californianus (California sea lion) is the source of this 281-nucleotide long non-coding RNA. RefSeq lists it as uncharacterized. The record is from RefSeq and is a predicted model, not a curated record. The transcript is spliced from 3 exons. Lineage: Eukaryota; Metazoa; Chordata; Mammalia; Carnivora; Otariidae.
CCUAGGGCUGCCAUAACAAUACCGCAGAUGAGACAGCUUCAACAACAGACAUUUAUUUUCUCACCGUUCUGGAGGCUGGAAGUCCGAGAUCAAGACUGGCUGAUUCGGUUUCUGUUGCAGGGCAUGUGACAGACCCAGGAGAGAGACAGAGCCUCGGGAGCGAGUCCCUGCAGCUCCGCGGAGGCGCUGGAGAGGCAGUGACAGGAAGAGCCCGGCAGACGGCUCUGUGGUAUUUUCAUCAACACGACAGCCUCCUGGGCACGUACACCCUUCGGAAGCCG